ACCCCAACCCCCCGUUUCGCACUUCUUUCUCACUUUAGUAUCCUGUGUAUCAAUUUGUCCCCCCUGUGGUUUCGUUUAUCUCUUUUUAUUAUCAAUUUUAUUAUUUUUUUCUCUUAAAUCAGUGACAAAGUUAAAAUUAAAGGAUACUAAAGUAAAUAUUCGAUAAAUUUAGGUGGGUAUCUGAAGUUUUUUAUAUAAAAUUUAACAAAAUAUUAAGAAAAAAGCUACCGAAAAGAUAAAAACAAAACCACAUGGGGGCAAAUUGAUACACUUUAAACCACAAGGUACUAAAGUGAGAAAGUGCGAAACCACAGGAGGUUUUUUGAAGUUUU
Molecule: long non-coding RNA, 332 nt
Filed under: Ananas comosus (pineapple)
Lineage: Eukaryota; Viridiplantae; Streptophyta; Magnoliopsida; Poales; Bromeliaceae
Description: long non-coding RNA (ACOM_LNC013359)
Source: RNAcentral